GCAAAUGAUUUGAUUACAACAACUUAG
This 27-nucleotide small nuclear RNA is filed under the name Phaeodactylum tricornutum CCAP 1055/1. RNAcentral describes it as "snRNA PTsRNA00004b". Lineage: Eukaryota; Bacillariophyta; Bacillariophyceae; Surirellales; Neidiaceae. The record is from RNAcentral.